This 407-nucleotide ribosomal RNA is filed under the name bacterium. RNAcentral describes it as "partial 16S ribosomal RNA". It matches the Rfam family "Bacterial small subunit ribosomal RNA", at positions 355 to 776 of the family's 1533-position model. The record is from RNAcentral.
UGGGGAAUAUUGGACAAUGGACCGAGAGUCUGAUCCAGCAAUUCUGUGUGCACGAUGAAGUUUUUCGGAAUGUAAAGUGCUUUCAGUUGGGAAGAAAGAAAUGACGGUACCAACAGAAGAAGUGACGGCUAAAUACAUGCCAGCAGCCGCGGUAAUACGUAUGUCACGAGCGUUAUCCGGAUUUAUUGGGCGUAAAGCGCGUCUAGGUGGUUAUGUAAGUCUGAUGUGAAAAUGCAGGGCUCAACUCUGUAUUGCGUUGGAAACUGUAUAACUAGAGUACUGGAGAGGUAAGCGGAACUACAAGUGUAGAGGUGAAAUUCGUAGAUAUUUGUAGGAAUGCCGAUGGGGAAGCCAGCUUACUGGACAGAUACUGACGCUAAAGCGCGAAAGCGUGGGUAGCAAACAGG